Molecule: ribosomal RNA, 339 nt
Filed under: Raorchestes nerostagona
Lineage: Eukaryota; Metazoa; Chordata; Amphibia; Anura; Rhacophoridae
Description: partial 12S ribosomal RNA
Rfam family: Bacterial small subunit ribosomal RNA
Source: RNAcentral
ACGAGCUUUAGCUUAAAACUCAAAGGACUUGACGGUAUCCUAACCAAUUAGAGGAGCCUGUUCUAUAAUCGACAACCCACGAUACACCUAACCACUUCUUGCUUUCAGCCUGUAUACCUCCGUCGCAAGCUUACCACUUGAAUGAACAUAGUAACGCUCAAAGAUUAACCACCCACACGUCAGGUCAAGGUGCAGCUUAUGAAAUGGAAGCAAUGGGCUACAAUCUCUAACUUAGAGCAAACGAAAUACUGCAUAUGAAAUAUGGUCACGAAGGAGGAUCUAAUAGUAAAUAAGAAAUAACGAGCCUUAUUAAACUCGGCCCUAGGAUGCGUACACACC